CAAAGAUGGAAUCUAUUACCCACAGAGCCGCAGCCCCCACAGAGCGAGCCUCACCUGUCUUAGGGAUUUAUUUCAACUCUCCUAUUAAUAGCCGGCAACGCCAAGAACUGUGAUCACUGCCCUGGACGGCAAGAACCUUCUGAGCAGAAUGAGAGAAACCCAUUGGGAGACAAAGUGGAGUUCAAGUCCACCUCAAAUGAGAAAAUCGGAUCGUUUCCAUUUUAUCUGAACGCAACCUGCAUCCCAAAAUGGGUGAGGACCACUUUUCUUGUAAAAACAACUCAGAAGGCAACUCACCGUACCUAAUGGAAGUGUCAUUACAAAUCCAUCUUCCUUUUUAAUGCUAACUUGUUGUGUAGGAAGGAUUUAGAAUACAUAUUAGAACGACAUUCCUAACUAUGAAUGUGUAAAAUAUGGAAGAAAUAACCAGGAGAAAUUGUAGAAUCCCAAUUCCUUCAGAAUAUUAAAUAAUCUUA
This is a long non-coding RNA of Hippopotamus amphibius kiboko, 476 nucleotides long. RefSeq lists it as uncharacterized. NCBI's taxonomy places the organism in Eukaryota, Metazoa, Chordata, Mammalia, Artiodactyla, Hippopotamidae. The record is from RefSeq and is a predicted model, not a curated record. The transcript has 3 exons.